RNAcentral lists this ribosomal RNA (662 nucleotides) under Astrosphaeriella tornata. Its description in RNAcentral is "SSU rRNA". It matches the Rfam family "Eukaryotic small subunit ribosomal RNA", at positions 95 to 763 of the family's 1831-position model. The record is from RNAcentral. Lineage: Eukaryota; Fungi; Ascomycota; Dothideomycetes; Pleosporales; Astrosphaeriellaceae.
GGCUCAUUAAAUCAGUUAUCGUUUAUUUGAUAGUACCUUACUACUUGGAUAACCGUGGUAAUUCUAGAGCUAAUACAUGCUGAAAACCCCGACUUCGGGAGGGGUGUAUUUAUUAGAUAAAAAACCAACGCCCUUCGGGGCUCUUUGGUGAUUCAUGAUAACUUAACGGAUCGCAUGGCCUUGCGCCGGCGACGGUUCAUUCAAAUUUCUGCCCUAUCAACUUUCGAUGGUAAGGUAUUGGCUUACCAUGGUUUCAACGGGUAACGGGGAAUUAGGGUUCGACUCCGGAGAGGGAGCCUGAGAAACGGCUACCACAUCCAAGGAAGGCAGCAGGCGCGCAAAUUACCCAAUCCCGACACGGGGAGGUAGUGACAAUAAAUACUGAUACAGGGCCCUUUUGGGUCUUGUAAUUGGAAUGAGUACAAUUUAAACCCCUUAACGAGGAACAAUUGGAGGGCAAGUCUGGUGCCAGCAGCCGCGGUAAUUCCAGCUCCAAUAGCGUAUAUUAAAGUUGUUGCAGUUAAAAAGCUCGUAGUUGAACCUUGGGCCUGGCUGGCCGGUCCGCCUCACCGCGUGUACUGGUCCGGCCGGGCCUUUCCUUCUGGAGAUCCGCAUGCCCUUCACUGGGGUGUGUUGGGGAACCAGGACUUUUACUUUGAAAA